This 372-nucleotide ribosomal RNA is filed under the name uncultured organism. RNAcentral's name for it is "partial 16S ribosomal RNA". It matches the Rfam family "Bacterial small subunit ribosomal RNA", at positions 527 to 896 of the family's 1533-position model. The record is from RNAcentral.
GUAGGUGGCAAGCGUUGUCCGGAAUUAUUGGGCGUAAAGCGCGCGCAGGCGGUUCUUUAAGCCUGAUGUGAAAGCCCACGGCUCAACCGUGGAGGGUCAUUGGAAACUGGAGAACUUGAGUACAGAAGAGGAAAGCGGAAUUCCACGUGUAGCGGUGAAAUGCGUAGAGAUGUGGAGGAACACCAGUGGCGAAGGCGGCUUUCUGGUCUGUAACUGACGCUGAGGCGCGAAAGCGUGGGGGAGCAAACAGGAUUAGAUACCCUGGUAGUCCACGCCGUAAACGAUGAGUGCUAAGUGUUAGGGGGUUUUCCGCCCCUUAGUGCUGCAGCUAACGCAUUAAGCACUCCGCCUGGGAGUACGGCCGCAAGGCUG